GCGCCCGUAGCUCAGUUGGAUAGAGUACUUGGCUUCGAACCAAGGGGUCGGGAGUUCGAAUCUCUCCGGGCGUGCCA
This 77-nucleotide transfer RNA is filed under the name Burkholderiales bacterium. RNAcentral describes it as "tRNA-Arg". It matches the Rfam family "tRNA". Rfam says of the family: Transfer RNA (tRNA) molecules are approximately 80 nucleotides in length. Their secondary structure includes four short double-helical elements and three loops (D, anti-codon, and T loops). The record is from RNAcentral. Lineage: Bacteria; Pseudomonadati; Pseudomonadota; Betaproteobacteria; Burkholderiales. RNAcentral also lists the same sequence under 4 other names.